RNAcentral lists this long non-coding RNA (300 nucleotides) under Elaeis guineensis (African oil palm). RNAcentral describes it as "long non-coding RNA (EGUI_LNC031365)". The record is from RNAcentral. Lineage: Eukaryota; Viridiplantae; Streptophyta; Magnoliopsida; Arecales; Arecaceae.
CUCCCUUCCUUCCCAUGCCAACGUGCACACUCGCCGGCGAUCGAGGUCGCCAGAUUUUGUCAAAAUAAAGGUUCGAUUUUUUUCUAAAUUUUGGGACGUCGGUGGUCGCUGCCAGCCACGGUUUCGGGUUCCUUUUGAUGGCGGUGCGCUCUCCUCCGGCCACUGACCAUUCCCGUGCCAGUCGGCCGCUGGUCGGCCAACCUUAUGAGGGGACCUCACGGUCCCCUGGUUCACCUAUUUCACCCAUGGGAGGCCAUGAGAAGAAGAAUGAAGAAAAAAAAAAGAAAAAGAAAAAAGACA